AGAGUUUGAUCCUGGCUCAGAUUGAACGCUGGCGGCAUGGCUAAAACAUGCAAGUCGAACGCGAAAGGGGCUUCGGCCCCGAGUAGAGUGGCGAACGGGCGAGUAAUACUUUGCUAACGUACCCCAAGGUCGGGGAUAGCGGCUGGAAACGGCCGGUAAUACCCGAUGACCCCCGCGGGCCGCAUGGCCUGCGGGGCAAAGGCUUGCUGCCUUGGGAUCGGGCAAAGCGCUAUCAGCUUGUUGGUGAGGUAACGGCUCACCAAGGCAAAGACGGCUAGCGGGUGUGAGAGCAUGACCCGCCGCAUCGGGACUGAGACACUGCCCGGACUCCUACGGGAGGCUGCAGUAACGAAUCUUCCGCAAUGCGCGAAAGCGUGACGGAGCAAUGCCGCGUGAAGGAUGAAGCCCCUCGGGGUGUAAACUUCUGUCAGGGUUUAGGAAUUCUGACCAAACCCAAAGGAAGGACCGGUUAACUUCGUGCCAGCAGCCGCGGUAAGACGAAGGGUCCAAGCGUUAAUCGGAAUCACUGGGCUUAAAGCGUGCGCAGGCGGGCCUGUAAGUACCUUGUGAAAUACCACCGCUCAACGGUGGAAUGGCAGGGUAUACUGCAGGCCUUGAGGCCGGUAGAGGUUGCCGGAACUGUAGGUGUAGCGGUGAAAUGCGUAGAUAUCUACAGGAACACCAAAGACGAAGGUAGGCAACUGGGCCGGUUCUGACGCUCAGGCACGAAAGCGUGGGGAGCAAACAGGAUUAGAUACCCUGGUAGUCCACGCCGUAAACGAUGUGCACUAGAUUCGAGAGGCUCUGACGCCAUUCGGGUCGAAGCAAAAGUGUUAAGUGCACCGCCUGGGGAGUACGGUCGCAAGGCUAAAACUCAAAGGAAUUGACGGGGGCUCACACAAGCGGUGGAGCAUGUGGCUUAAUUCGAAGCAACGCGAAGAACCUUAUCCUGGGUUUGACAUGCACGGAUACCCUCGCCGAAAGGCGAGUAAGUUGCCCAUUCGGGUGAAACGUGCACAGGUGCUGCAUGGCUGUCGUCAGCUCGUGCUGUGAAGUGUUGGGUUAAGUCCCUUAACGAGCGAAACCCCUGUCGCUAGUUGCUGACAGGUCUCCGGACGCUGAGGACUCUAGCGAGACUGCCGGUGUCAAACCGGAGGAAGGCGGGGAUGACGUCAAGUCCUCAUGGCCUUUAUGCCCAGGGCUGCACACGUGCUACAAUGGCGUGAACAGAGCGACGCAAUACCGUAAGGUGGAGCAAAUCGCAAAAAUCACGCCCCAGUUCGGAUCGAGGUCUGCAACUCGACCUCGUGAAGGUGGAAUCGCUAGUAAUCGCGCAUCAGCAAUGGCGCGGUGAAUACGUUCCUGAGCCUUGUACACACCGCCCGUCAAGUCAUGGAAGCCGGGAGUGCCCGAAGUCGCACCGUUUCAGGUGUGCCUACGGCAAGCUCGGUGACUGGGACUAAGUCGUAACAAGG
RNAcentral lists this ribosomal RNA (1475 nucleotides) under uncultured organism. RNAcentral describes it as "bacterial SSU rRNA". It matches the Rfam family "Bacterial small subunit ribosomal RNA". The record is from RNAcentral.